AUCCUGGCUCAGGACGAACGCUGGCGGCGUGCCUAAUACAUGCAAGUCGAGCGGACUUAAAAAGCUUGCUUUUUAAGUUAGCGGCGGACGGGUGAGUAACACGUGGGCAACCUGCCUGUAAGACUGGGAUAACUUCGGGAAACCGGAGCUAAUACCGGAUAAUCCUUUUCUACUCAUGUAGGAAAGCUGAAAGACGGUUUACGCUGUCACUUACAGAUGGGCCCGCGGCGCAUUAGCUAGUUGGUGAGGUAACGGCUCACCAAGGCGACGAUGCGUAGCCGACCUGAGAGGGUGAUCGGCCACACUGGGACUGAGACACGGCCCAGACUCCUACGGGAGGCAGCAGUAGGGAAUCUUCCGCAAUGGACGAAAGUCUGACGGAGCAACGCCGCGUGAGUGAUGAAGGUUUUCGGAUCGUAAAACUCUGUUGUUAGGGAAGAACAAGUACGAGAGUAACUGCUCGUACCUUGACGGU
RNAcentral lists this ribosomal RNA (475 nucleotides) under Niallia nealsonii. RNAcentral describes it as "bacterial SSU rRNA". It matches the Rfam family "Bacterial small subunit ribosomal RNA", at positions 16 to 476 of the family's 1533-position model. The record is from RNAcentral. Lineage: Bacteria; Bacillati; Bacillota; Bacilli; Caryophanales; Bacillaceae.